This 662-nucleotide unclassified non-coding RNA is filed under the name Hevea brasiliensis (rubber tree). Lineage: Eukaryota; Viridiplantae; Streptophyta; Magnoliopsida; Malpighiales; Euphorbiaceae. The record is from RNAcentral.
GCAAAUGCAUCUGGGUCAUCUGCCAAUCCGAGUGGGUCGAAGGCGCCUCCUGGGUAAAUUGGGUCCAGUCCUUCACCAAGGGGACCACCACCAACCCGGUAACCUUCAACGAAGCCCAUGAGCACAACCUGGACAGCCCAGAUUGCAAGGAUACUCUGAGCAUGGAUGAGGUUUGGGUUGCCAAGGUAAUCUAGACCACCCUCAGAGAAGAUCUGAGAACCAGCCUUGAACCAAACUGAUUCACCAAACUGGACACCAUUCUUUGCAAGGAGUUCAGGGAAGACACAACCUAAUGCACCAAGCAUCGCCCAUCGGGAGUGGAUCACCUCAAGCUCACGGUUCUUCGCAAAAGUCUCGGGAUCUGCUGAUAGACCGGCUGUGUCCCAUCCAUAGUCACCGGGGAACUCUCCAGUCAGGUAAGAUGGUGUUUGUUCAGAGAAUGGUCCCAAGUAUUUUGGGCGAUCUGGUCCAUACCAUAUGCUCUGUGGAGCACUCUUGACUGUUCGUCGCAUGGUGAAGCGGCCGCCACCGACAGCGCCAACCCUUCGGACGAGCUCAUUGGAUUGCUUCAAGGCAGCCUGGCCGGCGAAGGCGGACUGUUGGAUAGCAGAGGUGGCCAUAAGUGUGUGAAGCUUUCUUAGAAGUUUGAUGCGAUGCCAAAG